UUAUUUUUCCAUGCAUCAGGUGAGCCGCUCCAUUCCGGGGCCGCUUUAAACGGGAAAGCGGUGCGUUUCAAAACGAAACCAAGCCGCUGCUGCCCCCGCAACGGUAAGCAAGUGUGGCUGCAUCAACCAUGUCACUGGCCGCAAGGCUGGGAAGACGGUGCGGCAAGUCUUGCGAGCCCGGAUACCGGCCUGAUGAUCUUAAGCGAA
RNAcentral lists this non-coding RNA (207 nucleotides) under Massilia sp. NR 4-1. The record is from RNAcentral. Lineage: Bacteria; Pseudomonadati; Pseudomonadota; Betaproteobacteria; Burkholderiales; Oxalobacteraceae. RNAcentral also lists the same sequence under 1 other name.